Phasianus colchicus (ring-necked pheasant) is the source of this 5969-nucleotide non-coding RNA. Lineage: Eukaryota; Metazoa; Chordata; Aves; Galliformes; Phasianidae. The record is from RefSeq and is a predicted model, not a curated record.
AGCCACCCUGGCUCUGUUCCUGUGCACAGAAUGCCCAGCUCUGCCUGGUGCUGGCCCAUCUUGUCCAGUGCUGCAGAGCUGUGCACAGGGCUGAGAGCUGGGCUCCUGGCUGCUGGUUGUGUCCUGCAACACCUCUCUAAGGAAGGCUGUACGUUCAUAAAUCACGGGAAAGGAGUAGCAUGUGGAAUAGAGAGAGCAGUCACAGAAAUAAUGUUUGUAGCAUGGUGGGGAGCAUAAAUCAUGGAACCCCACUGAGUCAGGGGCUAAGAUUUCCCUCAUUUCCAUAGCUUGCAGAAACCCGGAGCAAUAAACAAAGUGGAUUAAUAUCAGGAAACCUUGUUCACAGUUUUUACAAAGUGACCUCACAAAGUCAAGGAAAGUUUACGAAGCAUUUCUCGCAAUGGGGUGAAGCAGAGCAGCAGAGUGCCAUGGAGAAGGCAGGCAGCUAAUUCCAUCCCCACAUUUCAGGAAAUGCAGCUUCCUGGAGGCAGUGCAUUUUGUAGAAGCUGUGUCAUUUAUGAAUGGGUUUUUUUAUGCUGGACCUUGCACUCUAGGACUCACGGCACCAGGGAAUACUGGAAACCACAAAGUUGGAACAAAUCAGCCUCUGUGGCUCCUGAGCUGCCUGCAGGAAGCAGCCAUCCUCUCACUCCUCAAGGUUGCAGGAAAGUGGCCUGUGGCUGUGAGUUUGCUUCAUGCAAAGGCUGCUCUGUUGUUCCUUGGCAGAGCUGAUGUUGUUGCUUGGUUGAGAAUGGAGUCCUGAAUCUUUCUGUAAAGCACUGACUGUGCUAGUAGCUGCCAUGUUGCAUAGCAGGAUAGGAGGCCAGGGUUUGCAGCAGGGCUGGGAGCAGAGCUCAGAGCAACACAGUGCAACAACAGUGCAGCCCGGGGCUGGCAUGUGGAGUGGUUCUGCAGAGGAAGAAAGCAGACUUAGGAAAAAAUCAUUGUGGUGUCUUAGCAGCCUUGAAAGUGUAUGGAAAUAGCUGGACCCAGUGCCCUGGGUCAGUAAAAUGUAUUAAUCAGAAGGAAAUGCAGGCAGGCAUUCGUUUAAAGAAGUGGUUGUGCUGGGAGAUAUUCUUCACUUUAAAUUCUUGUUUUGGCUCCUGGUGUUUUAUAGUUCCCUUUACAGCCUGCAGUGUGCUGCAGAAAGCACUGCCUGCCCUUAAUGCAAAAGAAAAAGUGUAAGAAUGGAAUCAGGGAAACUUCCUGUCUCGAACAAAAGCUGCAUAUCUUUAUCUUCAGUUGCUUAAAAACUUAUUUACAGAAUGAAAAGUUGAUGUUAGUUUGUGUCUUCAAUUGCUGCUGUUAUUUGAGUUUAUUCUGCUAAUGAAAGGAUAAACUAUAUGCAACCGCAGUGCCGUGAAGUAAUGGAACCAAACAUACUUAGCACUUAUGUGGCUUUUUUCAUCCUCAAAGCACAGUACAAAAUUAAUUUUGAUAGGAUAAUAAAAAGGAUGCUGUAAAAGAUUAAUGCUGAAGAGGUUUUAACACCGGAAAUACAAUUUGUGUGAUGGAAAACAUGGGCAUCUGGCAUUGCACUGUGAACUGUUCCCAGAUAAUGAAAAGAAACCGCUUCCGAGCAAGUGUGGCCAGAUCCAGCAGGGUGUUUUUGCUCCUCUCUAUCUCAAGAGACACCUCCUAUCUUCUGACAGGAGCGAGCCACAGAUCUUCCAAAGCUGCAGUUUUCCAUCUGGAACCUUGAAUUGCUGCUGAGUUCAGGUCAGUGCCAGGAUGUGGCUGUGCUGCUUGCCAGUAAGCCAAGGGAUGAUGGCUGGGGAGCCUACAGAAGUAACACUUAUUUCUGUAACAUGUGGCAGGAUCUCACUGUAGCCAUUCAGCUAAACCCAGUCCAAUUCCAUCAGUUCUUCACUAGCAAAAGCAAGCACAUGUGGUUAGAAGUUAACUUCUAAUACACAGACCAUACCUGGUGGUGAUUUGCUUUACACUGACUUAGUCGUACAGUCUUUCACAAUGUGCUUCACGUGGAAAAGUUAGGAAAAUACUAAUUAGAGGUGCUUGGCAGAGAGGAGCUUGGGGUGAGCAACGUGCUGCAAUGGAGUGAGCAAUGCAUGCUGUGAUGGGUGCUGGGAAAAUGAUGCCGUUAUCAGAUUUUGUAAGCCAUGGGUUGUGUUGCAUGCAUUGUAUUUGUUCUUUGCCUUCAUACUGAAGGUCCUCACUGUACCUCCCUCUAUGUAUGUGGCAGGCUUUGUACUGUUGCCUUGUCACACCACGUGCUUUGCUCCUUGCACUACAGGCCACAAUAAGUGACAGGUUGAAAUUCAGCCUUGAUCUAUAUGCAGGGCAGCUUUUAAACAGAGCAAAUGCUGAGCAACAGAAGUUGUUCAUCUGGUCCUUGUGCAGCAUUUGGUCUGCUUGUGAAAUAGCAGGGAUUGUGAACAGACAGACAUGUUGAUCAGAUGUCUACUCUGUGUUCUCUGCCAUGCACUCAAUAGAAUUCAGAACCGAAUGGAUGUGUUGAUGCAGGAGGUGUUCUGGGCAUGAAGCCUGUCUGAUGGCACAAGGAAGUGGCACCAGCUCAGGUUUGAGCAUUCACUCCAAGCUGCAGCACAGCCUCAGUCCUGACAAAGAUACGGAUUGGCAGCAGUGACAGUUUGGAAUCCAAGCGGCGCACUGAGCAGAAGGCACAGCUGCAUACAGCAGACUCAGGACAUUUCACUUUCCAUUUCUUGCUGGCUGCAGCCCUGCAGGGCGUGGUAGGCUGUGUGCUGCUGCUGAGCAUUCAGAGGAGCUCACCAACAGGAGUGUCAGUGCCUGAUUACAGUGCAUGCAAAGAAACCAUCUGCAAUCUGAGGCCAGCAGCGUGUGUGAAAGAUGGCUCGAUAUGCCCUUCUGCUUGAAGCUGGCUGAGGACACCUGGACAGAUGAGAGCAAGCGGAGCAUGGAGCAUGCUGGCCCUUUUCCACCUGGGAGCAGUUACUUAUGGUAAAUCUGGGAAAUGUGGUUUUUUAUGGCAAAGGUAAGAGUAGAACAUGUGUUCAAAGCCAAGGUCCACACUUCCUGUCCCUUACCCUGUCCCCUUCUGCUGCUUCCUGAGAUACAGCUUUCCUAGCAGCUCACCCCAUCCCCAUCAUUUCAGGGCCAAACUGGAGGCUUUGGGCCGGAGGAAGCAUGGAGACCCAAAUCAAAAAUUAGGUGGCCCCUCUCUCAGCAUCAUGGCAUUGUCCUGAUGGGAUGGGAUGGCUCAGUUUUGGUGGGUGUCAAGCACUUGUGUUCAGCAGCAGCCACAGCCACUUCUCCUUCAGUGAACAAAAACUGCAGCAGUAAACAGCAGAGAAAGUGUGGAACAGUGUGGGGUGGUCUGGCUGGGAGUCAUGGGGUGAUGACAUUUAGCAGAGGAAAGUUUCAGCACAGCACAGAGGAAAAUGUCCUGAGGCUGUGCUGGCCCUCAGGGGGAUGGGAAGAGCCCCUUGGCCUGAGUCAUGGGGGUGGGCAGGAAAGAGCCAUGGAAAAUGGGCAGUCAGGAGCAGCCCUGCUGGCAGCAGCCUGUGACCUACAUGGGAUUUUCCAACUCCCAAUUUAUGUGAAGUGGAAAGUGAUUUAUUUUGCUUAACACUGCUUUCCUAUAAUGAGUAGUACCUAGAGGGGGAGGUGCAGAGCUUGGGGUAAGGAGUGCCUUCAGGAAUCUACCUACUGCUGCAGGAGCAGCACUUCUCCAUUGGUGCUGGUUUGGGCUGGGGGUCACAUCUCUGUCCUGUCCACAUGUCCCUUCAGUGGCACUGCUUGCACAUCCCUGAGAAACAAAACUACCCCAGUCGCACAGGGGUGCCCUCUCUUACCUCAAAAGUUGUUUCUUUUUCUCCAUAUCCAGGUCAGCUGAGAGUCACUGAGUCAGCAGCACAAUGUGGAGAUGAAACAUACCACAAGAAGGUGGAAAGUCCUGCAAAUCUGCCAGAACUGCACGUGAUGGAGGAUAAGGGUGCACAGAGUGGUGCGUGGGAGGGUGGGCUGCCUCUCCUCACAGGAAUCUGAGGCUGAUGCUGCUUUCUGAGCGCUGCCUGUUGUGAAUCAUUGGCUUUGAUGGGAAUCCAUUUAGGCAUCCAUUUCUGCAGCUGUUUCCUGUGUAUGUGGAGCAUUGUGUGAGCUGUAAGAGUGUUUCAAGUUACCAGGACAGGGUGGUCACUUUAAUCAUCAUGAAGAUCUGAACAAAGAACCACAUGUGCAUUUUGGGAACAGUACCCCAAAACAGGAACACCAGCGAUCCCCAGAAGCGUGCAGAAAGAGAUCAGAUGGGGGGGAUGAUUUAUGGCCACUGUGGGUGUAACCAAGUAGCAGCAUUGCCUCACUGCUUUUAUAGAUCGCUGGUUGCCAACUUAAUUAUGUUUGCUGAUGUCUUUUUUGGGUUUUGUUUUUGUAGCUUCCUUCUAAAAAUAGCAGCAGCACCUCCUCAGAGGGUUCCUGAGGCAGCUGCUGGAGCACGGAGGAGACUGUAAUUCAGAUGCUAAAGCCACACAGGGAUGGCUGGGCUUUGUAAUUCCUGUGCUAUAAAGCAAAAGAAGCAAAAGUUGCAUCUGAAGAGCCCACAGAAAUUCAGAGGGUGAGGAUAUCCCACUUUUGCUGUGCUCCUCAUGAAAGGAAGCACCACUGUACCAGGGGAUGGCACUGAGGAUUCUGUUGGCACACACAGCACACCUAGCAGGUAUGCAGCUGUCCUGGGGGACCGCGGUCCUGGUGCUUACAGUGAGAUGCUUUCUCACCCUUUCUCUUUGCUUUUGCUUAGUUGCUGUGGAAUUACUUGCAACCCUUCCCUUGCUACAUCACACUAGCAGCUGCUGCUGUUUCAUGUUGUCACACUAUGUGUAUGUCACUAAAAGCAGCCCUGGGCCCCACUCAUGCUGCUUUACCCCAUCCUCUGUUCAGCCUGGUUACUGUGCUGGGGAUCCAGGCUGAGCUCUGCCUCCUGGAGAGAUCUCACUUGUGUCCUGCUGCUGGGUCUUGCCAGUGAGGGAGGGAAAGGGUCACACACCUGGAUUCGGGUGCUAUAUUUGGAUUUGCUGUUGGCAUCCCCCUUCCUCUGCCUUACCUGGUACCUUAUCUGUGUGAGGUUUCAGAAAUACAGCCACUGCUGGGUGAGGGGCACAGCUGGGACCUGCUCUGAAGCCCCUCAUGCAGGAUGGGUGCUCCAUUGCCAGCACUGCUGUGCUGGGAUGUGAUCUGGGCCAUGCUCAGGGCGCUGCUGUGUUGGGAGCCCAUGUGCGUGUAAAACAACACCCAGCCCCAAGCUGUGUUGUGUCAGUUCAUGUAACCUGACAGAUCUCCUCAAAUAAGAACCAUAUGGUAGAGAUAACAUCUUUGUUGCUUGCGGUUUCCUUGAUGGCAAACUACUGUGCUAUAAACCCCGAGUGUCCAGUUGAGUUAUAAACUCACCACAGAUGGAAACUGGAAAUGGAAUGGAGCGCUGGUUUGGAUCUGGCAGGGGCUGGGAGGGGUGCAGGCUGUCGCUCUCUCUGGAUGCAGCAGUGUGACCUGCCUGGGCUUCGAGCUGAUGUUUUGACCAGCAGUCCCUCAUGAAAUCAUUCUCCCCACCUUGCCUCCCCAAAGCCAUUUUUUGGCUAUGGAGCUGUGCCCUAUGCCCUCCUCAAACACGAGGUGCCGUUCCCCUUGGGAAAUGACAGCCUUUCCAGCACUCAGGAGCGAUGUGCUAGAAGGGGCAGCUGAGAGCUUGGAGCAGCCCCACGGUGCUUCUGCAGCUCUGGGGCAGUGUGUGAUCCUGCAGGGCUUAAAGUGACCCCCCAGCUACUGCCUGCUGCUCCAAAGCAGCCUCAGGUUGGGCAGCACUCUGCUUUGGGCAGUGCCCUGCAUGCACAGAGUGCUGCAUGAGUGUAUGCAUGCACACGCUGCUCACGUCUGCUUUGCAACACUUCCACCUACAGAAUAAAACCCAGAAUGGCAGCAGAGCAGCUGAUGGCCCUGGGAGCAGCUCAGCCUCAACGAGGAGUUUUGUUUUUUGU